GAUCAUGGCUCAGGAUGAACGCUAGCUACAGGCUUAACACAUGCAAGUCGAGGGGAAACGACAUCGAAAGCUUGCUUUGGNGGGCGUCGACCGGCGCACGGGUGAGUAACGCGUAUCCAACCUGCCCACCACUUGGGGAUAACCUUGCGAAAGUAAGACUAAUACCCAAUGAUAUCCCACGAAGGCAUCCGAAUGGGAUUAAAGAUUUAUCGGUGAUGGAUGGGGGAUGCGUCUGAUUAGCUUGUUGGCGGGGUAACGGCCCACCAAAGCAACGAUCAGUAGGGGGUUCUGAGAGGAAGGUCCCCCCACAUUGGAACUGAGACACGGUCCAAACUCCUACGGGAGGCAGCAGUGAGGAAUAUUGGUCAAUGGGCGAGAGCCUGAACCAGCCAAGUAGCGUGCAGGACGACGGCCCUAUGGGUUGUAAACUGCUUUUAUAAGGGAAUAAAGUGAGUCUCGUGAGACUUUUUGCAUGUACCUUAUGAAUAAGGACCGGCUAAUUCCGUG
This 507-nucleotide ribosomal RNA is filed under the name uncultured bacterium. RNAcentral describes it as "bacterial SSU rRNA". It matches the Rfam family "Bacterial small subunit ribosomal RNA", at positions 15 to 507 of the family's 1533-position model. The record is from RNAcentral.